This 180-nucleotide small RNA is filed under the name Mytilus galloprovincialis (Mediterranean mussel). Lineage: Eukaryota; Metazoa; Mollusca; Bivalvia; Mytilida; Mytilidae. The record is from RNAcentral.
GGAUAUAUAAUAGAUUCUACCACUGCAUCGAGGGUGAUACGAUAUUUAUCCACUCGAGACAGUUAAACUUUCAAUUUUAAAACGCGAUGCUCGCCGAGCAUUUUAAAUAUUUAAAAUUUAACUGUCGAGAGUGGAUAAAUAUCGUAUUACACGAGAUUUCGUGGUGGAAUAUGUUUCUCU